RNAcentral lists this ribosomal RNA (308 nucleotides) under uncultured Hyphomicrobiales bacterium. Its description in RNAcentral is "bacterial SSU rRNA". It matches the Rfam family "Bacterial small subunit ribosomal RNA", at positions 22 to 358 of the family's 1533-position model. The record is from RNAcentral. Lineage: Bacteria; Pseudomonadati; Pseudomonadota; Alphaproteobacteria; Hyphomicrobiales.
GCUCAGAAAGAACGCUGGCGGCAGGCCCAACACAUGCAAGUCGAGCGCCGUAGCAAUACGGAGCGGCAGACGGGAGAGUAACACGUGGGAACGUACCCUUUGGUUCGGAACAACCCAGGGAAACUUGGGCUAAUACCGGAUAAGCCCUUACGGGGAAAGAUUCAUCGCCGAAGGAUCGGCCCGCGUCUGAUUAGCUAGUUGGUGGGGUAAUGGCCCACCAAGGCGACGAUCAGUAGCUGGUCUGAGAGGAUGAUCAGCCUCACUGGGACUGAGACACGGCCCAGACUCCUACGGGAGGCAGCAGUGGG